UAUUCAACAAUAUUGAGAGGAUACAUUAAA
This 30-nucleotide non-coding RNA is filed under the name Mus musculus (house mouse). Lineage: Eukaryota; Metazoa; Chordata; Mammalia; Rodentia; Muridae. The record is from RNAcentral.